GUCCUCAUAGUUCAAUUGGAUAGAACAGUGGCGUCCUAAGCCAUUGAUCCAGGUUCGAGUCCCGGUGAGGACACCA
Molecule: transfer RNA, 76 nt
Filed under: Parcubacteria group bacterium CG1_02_41_12
Lineage: Bacteria
Also listed under: 6 other names
Description: tRNA-Arg
Rfam family: tRNA
About the family: Transfer RNA (tRNA) molecules are approximately 80 nucleotides in length. Their secondary structure includes four short double-helical elements and three loops (D, anti-codon, and T loops).
Source: RNAcentral